AGGAUUAACGCUGGCGGCGUGCAUGAAACAUGCAAGUCGAGCGCGGCGCGUGGCUUCGGUCACGCGUCUAGCGGCGCACGGGUGAGUAACACGUGAGCAACCUACCUUCGAGUUCGGGAUAGCCCUGGGAAACCAGGAUUAAUACCGGAUGUGGUCACAACGGGACAUCCCGAUGUGAAAAAAGGCGCAAGCCGCUCGAUGACGGGCUCGCGGCCUAUUAGCUUGUUGGUGGGGUAACGGCCUACCAAGGCGACGAUGGGUAGCUGGUCUGAGAGGACGAUCAGCCACACUGGGACUGAGACACGGCCCAGACUCCUACGGGAGGCAGCAGUUAGGAAUUUUCCGCAAUGGGCGAAAGCCUGACGGAGCAACGCCGCGUGUGUGAUGAAGGCCUUCGGGUUGUAAGCACUGUCGGAGGGAGAAUGAAUGACGGUACCUCCAAGAAAGCCCGGCUAACUACGUGCCAGCAGCCGCGGU
RNAcentral lists this ribosomal RNA (477 nucleotides) under uncultured bacterium. Its description in RNAcentral is "SSU rRNA". It matches the Rfam family "Bacterial small subunit ribosomal RNA", at positions 26 to 521 of the family's 1533-position model. The record is from RNAcentral.